RNAcentral lists this long non-coding RNA (994 nucleotides) under Salmo salar (Atlantic salmon). RNAcentral describes it as "lncRNA (ENSSSAG00000096861.1)". Lineage: Eukaryota; Metazoa; Chordata; Actinopteri; Salmoniformes; Salmonidae. The record is from RNAcentral.
GUCAGAGGAGGAGGUGUCUACUGUUGUGUCAUCAAGGGGUUUGUUGUGGCGUAGUAGACAGAGCUGUUUGCGUGUUUUGCAUUAGGAGCCCCGUCCCAGUAGAGGGGCCGCUGGUUAAUUCCCCUUAACCGCUCCACUACCGUCACUGAGUGCCACGUCAAACACUCUCCCAGGACUACUGCACUGCAAAGCACAGCACCACCUGCUCCCAGGCAUGGCAAUGAGCCUCUGCCUCGCCUGCACAAUAGAGAGGGAAGGGGAGCGAGAAAGUAGGAGAGAGGGAAGCUGAGGAAGCAAAAAGAGAGAAACAGAUAGUGAAGAAAAGGCACCUGUUUUAGCAGAGUGAAAAAAAUCCAUCAAGUGUGAAAUAGGCUGCACAAGCAAUGAGAGGAUGCACCAUCGUGAGACCUGAGCCCUAGGACCAUGCCUCAGGACUACCUGGCAUGAUGACUCCUUGCUGUCCCCAGUCCACCUGGCCGUGCUGCUGCUCCGCCUGUGGCUAUGGAACCCUGACCUGUUCACCGGACGUGCUUGUUGCACCCUCGACAACUACUAUGAUUAUUAUUAUUUGACCAUGCUGGUCAUUUAUGAACAUUUUAACAUCUUGACCAUGUUCUGUUAUAAUAUCCACCCGGCACAGCCAAAAGAGGACUGGCCACCCCUCAUAGCCUGGAUCCUCUCUAGGUUUCUUCCUAGGUUUUUGGCCUUUCUAGGGAGUUUUUCCUAGGGAGUUUUUCCUAGCCACCGUGCUUCUUUCACAUGCAUUGCUUGCUGUUUGGGGUUUUAGGCUGGGUUCUGUUCAGCACUUUGAGAUAUCAGCUGAUGUACGAAGGGCUAUAUAAAUACAUUUGAUUUGAUUUGAAGUCAUUUCUACAUGGCUUAGAGAUGUCAGAUGUACAUUUAGGCUACUAUUUCAACUAACAUAACAGCUAUGUUAGAUUGUACUGUAUUCAGUUAAACUAACAAAUCUUAUAUUGAUGUUUUUGUGACUAAG